CCUACGGGUGGCAGCAGUGAGGAAUAUUGGUCAAUGGGCGCAAGCCUGAACCAGCCAAGUCGCGUGAGGGAAGACGGCCCUACGGGUUGUAAACCUCUUUUGCCGGGGAGCAAGCCUGAGCACGUGUGCCCAGGCGGAGAGUACCCGGAGAAAAAGCAUCGGCUAACUCCGUGCCAGCAGCCGCGGUACUACGGAGGGAGCGAGCGUUGUCCGGAUUUACUGGGUGUAAAGGGUGCGUAGGCGGCCCUGCAAGUCAGAAGUGAAAUCCAUGGGCUUAACCCGUGAACUGCUUUUGAAACUGCAGGACUUGAGGGGAGUAGAGGUAGGCGGAAUUCCCGGUGUAGCGGUGAUAUGCGGAGAGAGCGGGAGGAACACCAGUGGCGAAGGCGGCCUACUGGGCUUUAACUGACGCUGAAGCACGAAAGCGUGGGUAGCAAACAGGAUUAGAUACCCUUGUAGUC
RNAcentral lists this ribosomal RNA (461 nucleotides) under uncultured bacterium. RNAcentral describes it as "partial 16S ribosomal RNA". It matches the Rfam family "Bacterial small subunit ribosomal RNA", at positions 338 to 795 of the family's 1533-position model. The record is from RNAcentral.